ACUCCACUGAGAAAGAGGCAGCUUGAUGCCCCAAGAAGCUGUGUUUAUUAAAUUAUGGUUAAUGAAUACUACAGAGAAUAUAAACUAUAAACACACAACAGAAAAUGGCAGACAUGUUGAACUGCAAGAUUCCACUCCUGACGCCAGAAUUUGUCAAGAGGACCGCAUUGUUGUUUCUCACUGAGGCAUAGGACUGACUGCGGGCCAUUGUUUCUCCAGCUCAAGUGGGCCUGUCUGGUUCGUGUUGGAAGAAUAGGGGCGACAUGCGUGAGUUCCCAAGUAUAAAGGAACUACCGGUUCUAGAAAGACACGGGAGUUUAGCCACUAAUGCAGAGUAAAUAAACAUUUUUCACCACCUCUUGCUCCCUGUGAUUUUUUUUUUUAAAGGUCAAGAGCUGCCAUUACAGUAUUUUAAAAGCUUCAAAUUAUGUUUAAAGCACGUAUCACUAAACUCACAGAAACCUUAUCAGAAUUUGGGAACCCACUGUGAUUGUUUGGUCCUUGAGUUUUAUCAUCACUGGAAGGCAGACUGUAAAAGGAAUGCAGAUGCCCUGUCGCUUCUAAUAUCCUGCAAUUUGCACAAAGUGAAUGUGGCUCAAGCCCUUCCACAUUUCCCUCAAAAUACUGCAAGUAUGGAGACUGGUCAGUUUCAAAUCUUCCUAAGGUCCAUGUUGCAGGUCACACAUUCUAGACAGAUAAGAGUAAGCCUUUGGGAACCUUUCAUGAUGAGCAUGUUCAAAAUGCAAAGAACGGGUCAUGUUCCUGGAAAAUCUCCAACUGUGUGUGCGAAAGAGAGAGUAAAAGGCAGAGGGAGAUUUCU
Molecule: long non-coding RNA, 820 nt
Organism: Bos taurus (domestic cattle)
Lineage: Eukaryota; Metazoa; Chordata; Mammalia; Artiodactyla; Bovidae
Source: Ensembl